CUACGGGGGGCUCCAGUGGGGAAUAUUGCACAAUGGAGGAAACUCUGAUGCAGCAACGCCGCGUGGAGGAUGACACUUUUCGGAGCGUAAACUCCUUUUAUAUAGGAAGAAGAUGACGGUACUAUAUGAAUAAGCGCCGGCUAACUCCGUGCCAGCAGCGCGCGGUAAUACGGAGGGCGCAAGCGUUACUCGGAAUCACUGGGCGUAAAGAGCGUGUACGCGGAUUAAAAAGUCAGAAGUGAAAUCCUAUAGCUUAACUAUAGAACUGCUUCUGAAACUCUUAAUCUAGAAUAUGGGAGAGGUAGAUGGAAUUUCUGGUGUAGGGGUAAUAUCCGUAGAGAUCAGAAGGAAUACCGAUUGCGAAGGCGAUCUACUAGAACAUUAUUGACGCUGAGACGCGAAAGCGUGGGGAGCAAACAGGAUUAGAUACCCGCGUAGUC
RNAcentral lists this ribosomal RNA (440 nucleotides) under uncultured bacterium. RNAcentral describes it as "partial 16S ribosomal RNA". It matches the Rfam family "Bacterial small subunit ribosomal RNA", at positions 339 to 795 of the family's 1533-position model. The record is from RNAcentral.